Molecule: ribosomal RNA, 252 nt
Filed under: uncultured bacterium
Lineage: Bacteria
Description: partial 16S ribosomal RNA
Rfam family: Bacterial small subunit ribosomal RNA
Source: RNAcentral
UACGGAGGAUGCGAGCGUUAUCCGGAUUUAUUGGGUUUAAAGGGUGCGUAGGCGGAAUAUCAAGUCAGCGGUAAAAAUUCGGGGCUCAACCCCGUCGUGCCGUUGAAACUGAUGUUCUUGAGUGGGCGAGAAGUAUGCGGAAUGCGUGGUGUAGCGGUGAAAUGCAUAGAUAUCACACAGAACACCAGUGGCGAAGGCGGCUUCCUGGUCUGCAACUGACACUGAGGCGCGAAAGCGUGGGGAGCAAACAGG